This 792-nucleotide ribosomal RNA is filed under the name uncultured Lactobacillus sp. RNAcentral describes it as "bacterial SSU rRNA". It matches the Rfam family "Bacterial small subunit ribosomal RNA", at positions 28 to 776 of the family's 1533-position model. The record is from RNAcentral. Lineage: Bacteria; Bacillati; Bacillota; Bacilli; Lactobacillales; Lactobacillaceae.
GAUGAACGCCGGCGGUGUGCCUAAUACAUGCAAGUCGAGCGCACUGGCCCAACUGAUAUGACGUGCUUGCACUGAAUUGACGUUGGAUUACCAGUGAGCGGCGGACGGGUGAGUAACACGUGGGCAACCUGCCCUGAAGCGGGGGAUAACAUCUGGAAACAGGUGCUAAUACCGCAUAACAACGAAAACCACAUGGUUUUCGUUUCAAAGAUGGUUUCUGCUAUCACUUCAGGAUGGGCCCGCGGUGCAUUAGCUAGUUGGUAAGGUAACGGCUUACCAAGGCAAUGAUGCAUAGCCGAGUUGAGAGACUGAUCGGCCACAAUGGAACUGAGACACGGUCCAUACUCCUACGGGAGGCAGCAGUAGGGAAUCUUCCACAAUGGGCGCAAGCCUGAUGGAGCAACACCGCGUGAGUGAAGAAGGGUUUCGGCUCGUAAAGCUCUGUUGUUGGAGAAGAACGUGCGUGAGAGUAACUGUUCACGCAGUGACGGUAUCCAACCAGAAAGUCACGGCUAACUACGUGCCAGCAGCCGCGGUAAUACGUAGGUGGCAAGCGUUAUCCGGAUUUAUUGGGCGUAAAGCGAGCGCAGGCGGUUGCUUAGGUCUGAUGUGAAAGCCUUCGGCUUAACCGAAGAAGGGCAUCGGAAACCGGGCGACUUGAGUGCAGAAGAGGACAGUGGAACUCCAUGUGUAGCGGUGGAAUGCGUAGAUAUAUGGAAGAACACCAGUGGCGAAGGCGGCUGUCUGGUCUGCAACUGACGCUGAGGCUCGAAAGCAUGGGUAGCGAACAGG